Molecule: long non-coding RNA, 195 nt
Organism: Hippocampus zosterae (dwarf seahorse)
Lineage: Eukaryota; Metazoa; Chordata; Actinopteri; Syngnathiformes; Syngnathidae
Exons: 2
Source: RefSeq, a predicted model, not a curated record
UCACCACUUCCUGGAAUUCCACGUUUUGUGGGCGAUGACGUCACGGCCUCGGAGCGCGGAAGACACUCAAACAGCGCGAAAAAAAACCCAACAGUGAAUGAUUGCAGCUGUUUUACAUGGAAGUGGAUUGUUGGCAAAAACACUUCCUAUGACGUCCCAACAUAAAUUUGACUUUCAGUUUCAGGAAAAUAGGAA